AGAACGGUAAGAAACUGGUAAACACGUUAUUUAUAUUGUUCAUCUAUUUGAAUCUUGUAAAGAAGGAGUUUACAUUGUGAUUUUAUUAUUUUCGUAUUGUUUGUACAUGUUAUUUCUAAGACCUACGAACUGUGAACGUGUGUCGAGCUAGAGAGCGUGAUAGCCGAUGGCGAAAACCAUUUGAUUAGCGUCCUUGGAGAGCGGAAUGAGUUUUCACGGUGUUCAUGGUGCAUGGUGCACGUUGAGAGGAAUAAUAAAUCGACACCCGUUUGAAACUCUCUGCGUCUUGAUCAAUAAAUCCAAGGGGCCGCUACAGUCGGUAUGUCCACCGUGCACCAGGAAAACACAUUUGGCAACCAAAUCCAGCCCCUGCUUGCAAUCAUGUUAGCUAAACUGAAGGUUUAUCAAUGCCAUUUGGAAUGGUUUUCGGUACAGUUUGCAUUGUCAUCAGUUGAACUAUCAGUCUGUUUCUCUAUAAAUCCAAAGUUAGAUGUUGCUUACCAAGAGAAAUUUUGGGAGGUCAGCAUCAAACCGCAUCUCUUUACUUGUUAGGAGCUAUCUCCAGCUGCAGAAAGCCACGGUAAUAUUUUCUCGUUUAGCUCCUUUUUAAAUCAGUUCUUUUCUUUGCCAUCUUUGUGUUUCUCUAAGACUAACCGCAGCUGUAAGUUACCUUCAACUUAUUACUUUACUCCAAAGCGCUCAACAUGACAAACCCUAGC
Long non-coding RNA from Micropterus salmoides (largemouth bass), 719 nucleotides. RefSeq lists it as uncharacterized. Lineage: Eukaryota; Metazoa; Chordata; Actinopteri; Centrarchiformes; Centrarchidae. The transcript has 2 exons. The record is from RefSeq and is a predicted model, not a curated record.